GCGGUAUGCCUAACACAUGCAAGUCGAACGGGGUAGCAAUACCUAGUGGCGGACGGGUGAGGAACGCGUGAGAACCUGCCUCUAAGUCGGGGACAACAGUUGGAAACGACUGCUAAUACCGGAUGAGCCUUCGGGUAAAAGAUUUAUCGCUUAGAGAGGGGCUCGCGUCUGAUUAGCUAGAUGGUAGUGUAAAGGACUCCCAUGGCGACGAUCAGUAGCUGGUCUGAGAGGAUGAGCAGCCACACUGGGACUGAGACACGGCCCAGACUCCUACGGGAGGCAGCAGUGGGGAAUUUUCCGCAAUGGGCGAAAGCCUGACGGAGCAAUACCGCGUGAGGGAGGAAGGCUUUUGGGUUGUAAACCUCAAAACUUAGGGAAGAAAAAAAUGACGGUACCUAAUAUAAGCAUCGGCUAACUCCGUGCCAGCAGCCGCGGUAAUACGGAGGAUGCAAGCGUUAUCCGGAAUCAUUGGGCGUAAAGAGUCCGUAGGUGGCCCAUCAAGUCUGCUUUCAAAGACCGAAGCUUAACUUCGGAAAGGGAGUAGAAACUGAAGAGCUAGAGUAUAGUAGGGGUAGAGGGAAUUCCUAGUGUAGCGGUGAAAUGCGUAGAGAUUAGGAAGAACACCAGUGGCGUAGGCGCUCUACUGGGCAUAUACUGACACUGAGGGACGAAAGCUAGGGUAGCCGAAAGGGAUUAGAUACCCCUGUAGUCCUAAGCGGUAAACGAUGGAUACUAGGCGUGGGUGCCCUAAAGANGGACUGUGUCGAAACUAACCCGUUAAGUAUCCC
RNAcentral lists this ribosomal RNA (788 nucleotides) under uncultured bacterium. Its description in RNAcentral is "bacterial SSU rRNA". It matches the Rfam family "Bacterial small subunit ribosomal RNA", at positions 39 to 870 of the family's 1533-position model. The record is from RNAcentral.